This is a long non-coding RNA of Alligator mississippiensis (American alligator), 8359 nucleotides long. RefSeq lists it as uncharacterized. NCBI's taxonomy places the organism in Eukaryota, Metazoa, Chordata, Crocodylia, Alligatoridae. The record is from RefSeq and is a predicted model, not a curated record. The transcript has 3 exons.
GUCUCCUGGAAACAGGUAAAAGACAACAACAGAAGGUAUUUGUUGUUUGUUUUGCAUCUUCAAAGAUAUGGCCAUGACCAACACCCAUGAGAAUGGAUGGAUAAGACUCCUUUUGACUUCAGUGCCUAUUAUGGGAGUCGCAUUUAGUCCAAAAGCAGGCACUCUGAAGACUUGUGAGGAAAACGCAGUGCAGGCACGUUGGCAAUGGGAUAUCCUGUCAGUGAAGCUCACAGUGAUCCUGCAUCAGUCACCUGCAGGAGGGCAGGAGUUGAUGACCGGCCUUUCAGUACAAUUUUCAACUGCAGUCGGACAACGAUGGAGGCGCUUAAUCCCAGUAACACGGCCGUACCCGACCGGGGCGUGCGUUCUGCGGAGUCCAUUAGCGGCUGGGCUGAGGCUGGUUCCCACUCCGGCUUUUAGAGAAAAAGUCAAGUGCUUGGUGACGUGGUAGCGCGGGCUCAGUAGGUGGCUCUCCUCCCAGGCUGUGCCCAGCAACUGCCCAGUGCUAGGAGUCGCCCUGCUGCUCGAACAGCCAUCUUUCAGAUGAGGAGACAUAUAAAAAUAAGGUCCUCACUUUCUUCAAUCAUUAAAGAUCCCGUACCGCUUGUCACAGGAGGAUCAGCCUGCUACAGGUUUGGAAUAUCCUGGAAAUGAUCAUGGUAAUCCCGUGCUUUGUCCAGCAUCACAUUCAUUCAAUACAGCCCAUCAUUCCCCAGGGCGAUCUGUGUCGGGUAUAACAGCUGUGGACAGUGUUACGGCCUUUAUCACCAUAGUCUGUACAAUCAGGGUUUAAACUACAGGGGAGCUAGGAGGGAGGGGGCUGAGCCCCCCCAUAAGAGACGAGAGCCCCUCUGUAAGAUUUGAAAAUCACAACCUGGGAGGGUCUCUGUUCGCACUGCUCCUUCACUUACGUGGACUUGUUAAUCAAUGAAAUCAAAGAUCAAGAUUGUCUUGAUUUCCACCCCCCCCAGUCCCCCAAGAGUCAAAGUGUCAUUCAAACCCUGUGUACAAUGCCCCUGUGCGGUACAGAAGUGAUAUUUCCCAUGUGGGGACUAAGACACACAAGGACUCGAGUGAUAUUCACAAGUUUGUGGCAGAGUACAGAACUGAACCUCAGUUUCCUCUGUCCUAAAUUAGCAUUGUAACAACUGGUCUGUCUCUUACCAUUUCACAGUAUGAAAUACUUUUUAGAGAGGCGAUUUUUUUUUUUUUUUUUUUUUUUUUUAAAGCAAAGUUUCAUCAACAGAAAUGAGGUUUUGAGUCCUACAAAGAGGUUGUGGAAAACUUUUUUUUGUGGGGGUGAGGGGGGGAAAGGGUAGGGAUGUUAAUUUUUUUAAGCAAACACUAUUAGUUGGGUUUAAAAACGAGUUGAACUUACUGUUUUCAUGGUUGUCUUCUUUUUUUCCAGUGCCAGGAGCUGGGUGAGGUGAAAAUGGAAAACAACCGAACAUUUUUCAUUUCACAUUGUAUAAAAAUAAUAGUCUAAUGAAAAUGUUGUGAAAGACUGGAGGAAAAAUGUAUCAUUUUAACUGGCUCUGUUAUUUACUAUUGGAGCACUGAACCUGCGAUAUGAACUUUGUUGCUCUUUCCCUUUUCUUUCAAUAUUUUUUCCCCCUUAAACUGUCAGUUUUACUUUUUAGAAGUCUUCAUGUCUCUCAUCUUGGGGUCUGGUGAUUUUUGUUUCUGUCAUUUUUGAGCACUUGAACAACUUUUCAGGAAGUAGUAAAAGCAGAGCUAAUGUCAUAUUUUGCAGCCGCUUGACAGUCAGCCAGGAGCUGACAAUUUAGUGAGGGGUAUCAACACCAGAAAAGAGACGCAUGAACCUUAUGCAUAAUAAUAUGCAGUCUAUUCACAACAGAAGUGAAACAUGAUUAAUGGUGGGAGUUGGAAGAAUGCCUUUCAUAGCGCUUGCAAAAAUUGAAAUGUUUUCUCGCUUAAUGCAUGUUCAGAACCUGGUUUUAACUGAAACGGAGAGUUUACCUUUCACUAAAUUUCUCAGAAACUGAGAAACUUGAGCAAAAGGACCAGGGAGAAACAACCCCCUCCUUGUAAAAUGAAGGUGAGAAGAAAGGCAGAGGAAUGUCUCUUGAGGCAAAUUUUCUUCCUGGACUGCAGGAUGAGCCUUGCUGUUGCGGACACUGCCAGCCCAACAGGUGUCAGAAAUGGGCAAGUGGUCAUUAAGCCUAUGAAUCUUAUUCCUGAGGCUGUGAUAACAGCCAUGGAUUAUUUAAACAAAGGGGUGGCAGGCAAGCAUGAAAGGAAAAUUAGUGGAGAGACUCUCUGCAGUAAACAAUGGUGUCUCUCACCCGGCCAUGGCCAAACUGCUUCACAACCUAGAAAAGUGGGUCAGAGCCACCCCUACCCCCCAACCCUGUCAAAGUGAUUUGAGCUGCUAUUGUAAACUUCACAAUGGGAAACUUUGGCUCCCACAUUCACUAAGCAAAACUGAUUUGUUUUUUACCAUUUGGGACAAAGCUGCCGGAUAAUUUUUCACGCAAGCACAAUGCAGCCGUUCAGCUGGUUGUGGAGAGCUGAUGGCAUUGUGAAUAGCUUUUUCUUUUAAUCAGACACCAUUGCUUUCAUUCGUUGUUUGAUGCUUUAAAUCUAAUGUAUACAUUUGCGAGAUCUGCAUACAAUGUCCAGAAACCUGUUCGUUUGUUUUAUUAGCCCGCAGAUAGGCGUAGGUCCCAGCCAUCUAAAGUUUGAGAGUGUUUUAAAUUCUUCAAUCUGUUGCUUGAAAUAAUUCUGGGCUUGUUGGCUUAUACCGUUCUGGGGAAAUUAAAGUAAAUAUAUUAUUUAGAAAAAUACUUUCAUGCAGGGUGAAUGGGUCCAUAUACAAUCCCUCUGUCCUCUGUUUCUUACUAUUUUUAAAUAAUUUUUCAGCUCUUUUUCGGUCUACAGCCAUCCCAUGUGCAGGCUUAAACUCCCUGCAUGUUCUCAAUGCAUUUUUACCCUGGUUUCUCUCACUGAGCUUAGUGGCACCCCCUUCUUCUGUAGAAAGGGAAACCAGGCUGCUCUUUCUACCAGUAUCAUGACCAUCCACCACUGCUUGUCAGCCAGGAGAGAACCUGGGACUUCAGCUAAUAGAAAUCAUUGCAUUUAGCCAGUAGUGGUAAGAAGCCCUUAUUCAAACUAAGUUACUUAUGUCACUUCCUAGAUGAAAUAAGACUCCAGGGUAUGAACCUGUUUCCACCACUGGACUCAUUUUACUAUGCACUCAGGGCAUGCCUUUUUCUAAAAAAAAAAAAAGCACAUGCUCCGUCAUGUCUUCAUUCUUUACAUAAGGUUUUGUUGGGUUUUUUUGCCCCUUGUAAGUUGUCUGACUUGAUGAGCCGUGCUCACAGGAGCUCUCUGAAUGAACCCAUUCAGCCAUGGAGGCAGGACAGCUGUGCUGGACAAUGCUGUUAAGUUGUACUGCAACUGCUCUUUGCCUCAUGUAGGCAAGUUAAGGACCGAGUUUAGCAUUAGGGUUAAAGCAGGGUAAAAAUUUCCCUAAUUUCCCUUUAGGUCGAGGUUGCCAACCUUUGGAAGGCAUGCCACAAAUUAGCCCUGGAAAUCCCCUUCCUCUGCCUGAUCUACUGCUCUGCUUUCAGCUCUCUAUUCUCUGCCCUCCCCUGCCUGAUCUCUUGCUCUGCUUUCUGCCCUAUCUGCUGCUAUGCAGCCUGGCCCCUUCCUGAUUUGCCAUGUACCACAUACACUUGGGGCACUUAUGCCACAGGUUGGCCACCCCUGGCUUAGGCAACUGUCUGGGUGCUGUUGAAGAUGCCUCAGUUGCUUUAAAUGUCAGCAAUACAAUCCACUUUUACCAGUUUAUGCCUGACUCGUAAAUACCCUUUUGAAGAGCACAGCUCAUGAAUCCUAGUCACUCUCUGGCUAAGUUCACUCAGUAAAUAGUGCUGGAGUUAAAAGGAAAUCAAGGUCUCUUUCAGUUUCCUGCUGUAACUUUAUGGACACUGUAUUGGUUCCUUAGAUCUUGCUGCUAUCUGAACCUUUUAACAACGGAAACCUGAUUUGGAGAAACUUAGCCAGAGAAACCAUUUGGAUGUUUGACAGCAGAAUGACUGCUUGGCUUUUUGUUGGAUCUUGUUGCUUCCAGUGCUGCCUCUGGCAAGUAUGCUAUCUGUACUAAUCAAAUCAGUGUGCACAGCACAUAAUUUUGACAGGACAAAUAUUUCUUAAUAAUUUGGUAGGAGCAUGCACACAAGAGAACUAGAUUUAUAAUUAGACCUAGUCACAAAAGCUGGAAGCGUGUUUAGGUUCAUUGGAGUCUGGUGGCCAACUCAGCUAAUUGGAUGAAAAUCCUCCUUUUUUCAGUUUGUACGAUGUCUGUUUUUUCCCAAACUCAUUAAAUGCAGCUGUACUUUGAAGUUUGUAACAACAGUCUCAGUGAAGGCUAGUCUCAAGUUAAUAGCUGUUCUGUUCUUGCUCUCUCCAUCUCAGACCAUUUUGCUGGUGGCUAAAACAUGCCCAAAUUUUCUCUCCCUGUGGUUCCUUCCCUCAUUUUGACUUGGAAUUGUCUUGCUAAUCAUUACACCUAUAAAUGACACUGGGGACUUGGAGGCUGUCAAAAGCCGAAUCUUUACAGGGAAUUUUUGUAGAAGAGAAAUCUUAUCUUUUCUGACACACCUGGUGCUGGUUUAUAUUUUAUAUCUGAAAUAAACCACACAACUCUCAACAUCCUUUCCUAGAUGGGACUGUAAUUUUGGAUUCUGUGAUUGCCUCACAGUUAAGGUUGUGUUACGUAUAUUAGGUUUUUGCAUUUUAGCCCAAACUGCAAAACCUUUUUUGUAGGAAAAAUGAAUAUUUUAAUCAAAAUGCUGCAUUUUUGCUUUUAGAAAGUUUCUGAAUUUUUCUCAAGGUUUCUUCUGUAGUUUCAGACCCUCUUAGAAAAAUGUUUUAAAAACUAAACAACAUUCCUCCUUCCCUUUUCUGAAACUUGGGUUGUUUUGUUGCUCUGUUUCCUGCAAAGAUUCCCUCAUAGUCACUGUACAGUCAAUAUGUAGUGGCAACCAAAAAAGUCAGUAAAAUGUAGGGCAUCCUCAAGAAAGGAAUUGAAAACAAAACUAAGAACAACCACGAUAUGAAUCCAUGGGACAUCCAUAUCUUGCAAGCUGUGGGCAGUUUUGGUCUCCGCAUCUGAAAAAGGAUGUAGUCGAAUUGGAAAAAGCAGAGAGAAGGGCAAUCAAAAAGAGCAGUAUGCCAUACCAGGAGAGACUAGGGCUCCUCAGUUUAGAAAGGAGAAGGCUGAAGGGAGGCACAGAGGCUUAUUGUAGUACUAGGGAAGAAUAUAAGAGCAUCGAAUGAGCAUGCAAGGAGAAAUUAGGAUGUCCAAGACAUUAUAUAAUGUGCAGCUUGAAAGGGGCAUGAAAGGCAAUACAAAGGGAUUCUGCAAGUAUGUCCGAAGUAGAGGAAGACCAGUGAAACCAUUGGUUCCUCGUGGAAUGCAAUCUAGUUAUGGAUGAUGCAGGGAAGGCUGACAUGUUUAAUUAAUUUUAUUUUAGUCUUCACAAAUAGGGGCAGCUGUCAGAUGAUGAGUGCAGUUGUCAGCCAAGAAAGGGAAGGAGACAAACAGCCUAUAGUAGUAGAAGAACAGAUUAGGUACUACUUGGAGAAGUUAGAUGCAUUCAAGGCAGCAGAACUGGGUAGGAUGGACCCUAUGUACAAAAUUGCUUAAGGUAAUUUCAAAGCCAUUGGCUAUCUUCUUUGAGAACUUGUGGAGGCUGGGGAUGUCCCAGAUUAUUGGAAAAAACACAAAUAUAGUGCCAAUCUUUAUGAAAGAGAAGGAGGAUUACACGCAAAUCAGCCUCACCUCGAUACCUGGAAAGAUCAUAAAGUCUACUGUAUAACACCUAGAAGAGAUGGGGAUCAGGAACAGCUGGCAUGGAUUCACCAAGAGCAAGACAUGCUUGACCAACCUGAUGAUAAAGUGAGAGGCUCUGUGGAUGGGGGGAGAGCAGUGAUACCUUUAGCAAGGUUUUUGACAGCAUCUCCCACAACAGUCUCAUUAUCAAGCUAAAGAACUACAUACUAGAUCAGUGGUUUUCAACUUUUUUUCAUUUGCCCACAUGGCUGAAUGAGGAAGUGAGAUGCAUGUGACUCUCACUCCAGCUGGUCUGGGGUGGGCGCCACGUGGGUACUGGACUGGUUGGAGCAGAUGCUGGAUCUGGUAUGUGGCAUGCACAAAGUCUGUCCUCCCCUUCCACAUGCUAGAUCCAGUGCCCCCCUCUGGCUGGUCCGGGACCUGUGCUACAUAUGACACCCAUCCCAGACUGACUGGAGAGGGUGCCACAUGAUGCCUGUAUUAGACACCAGCCAGAGAAGCUGCUGCAUGCAGCUUAGUCCCAGACUGGCUGGACCAGGUGCUGGAUCCAGUAUGCUGGGGGUGGGGGAGGUGUUGGUCCUGGACAGCAGGGCCUUGAAUAUCUCCCCCUGGGCCAGAUCCAGCCCUUGAAGCCACAUCAUUGAUACCCACACUAUAUUUCUGCAGGAAAAUAAAUAACUAAAGAACAUUUUUCAAUUAAUGCACUAAUAUUGCUACCAUUGGCAUACUUUUAAAUAAUAGAAGUGGCUAACAGUACAGUAUAUUGCAAAAGGCAGAUUGUUCCAGUAUUAAUACACAACUAAAAUACUUUUUUUUCAAUUACACUAUUUAAAAAGAUGCUUUCAUUUGAUUUAUACUUAAAGCAUAUUCCUGAGUUAUGAACAAUGGUAAAAUAUUCUUAUAGUAGAUGUUAAUAACUUAUGUAUGAGUACAAAAGCCAAUUCAGAUAGGAAAACUGCAGUACUUACUGUGAAAAAUUAGCUUGUGAAAUCUGCAGACGCUUCAAACUUUUUACAGAACAGGCUCAUAGAGCAAGUGUAUGUGAAUAUCCCAUGGUGGACUUGAACUCAUAAGACAUGAAGGUAUUUUUUUUUCAUAAGGACCUCUCUAUCUCAGAGGCUGUUUCAUCCAACAGUUGCCCUUCUGUACUCUGAGAAUUAGUAUAACUACUGCAGCUUGACUUGGUAGCACAAUAAGCACUUAGUUGGGCAAGGUUCUGAAAACCCACAAUUUCUAUUGGGUUUCACAGGAGUUGAAGGUGUCCAGUACUUUUUGGGAUCCAGCCCAUAUGUGAGGAGACAGCAGGGGCAAAAAGUAAUGCCUGCAUCAUAUUCUUCUUGGUCCUCUGGUCCUCUCCUAACUUCACUAACAUGCAGAUGCCAGAUGUGUGUGCGCCUGUCAGAUUAUAGAAACAGACAUUUUAGAGGUGAGUUCAUAUGGCAGAUUGAUUAUGGUUCUUCCUAACAAUGGGUUUGACACUUGAUUGCAAAGGUGAGCAUAACACAAAAGUGAGCAAUGAAUUAACCUAGGUGGAAAAAUUAAAGUGGUACAUCUGUCACUCUCUAUGCAGCACUCUCUCCCUCCAGAUUUUCAAGAGCUCACCACUUGCGUAGGCAAAGUGACGUUUUGUCAAGGGUGCUGAGCAUUUCUGGAAAAAAAACAAGCUGUCUGAGGUCUUUUGACACUUAUUUUUACAGGUGGGAAAACGUAUUAGGAAGCCUCUUCUCACUCAUGAAUGUAUUUCUUAUGACUGGCAUUUGCCAUCCUGUGCCUUCUAAAUAUACAAAGAUAGGAAAUGCUUUAUCUAUUAAAAGAGUUCACAUAUAUUUUCUCUUUGUGCAUGUAUGCUCUCUCUCUCUCUCUCUAGAUAUAUAGGCAGUACCAGUGGUGUUUGCUUUUUCUGGUCUAUUUUUGCUAUGUUUUGACAGGAUUUGUGUCAUGAAUGUGUGUCUGUCCCAGUCCCAAUUGGUGAAUCAUGCUGUUUAAUUGGAUUAGUCAAUGAGACAAAAAAAUGUCUUCUGGAAAUAAAAACAAGUGUGGCUUUGAGCUUGUGGACUGUGUUUGUUGGGAGCAGCCUCAGUCGCCAAUGAUUAAGAAAAAUGGUGAGUUAUUUUACUCCCAUUUGAAUGAAUGGUCACAGUUAUUGAAAGCAGUGAUGACAGGAGAAAAAUGCUUGCUUUCUAAUAGUUUUGUUUGUUUAUAAAGGGGAAAUAACUCGCACAGUAAGCACACAAGACACGGAAAUGAAGCAAUGUUGACAACUAUUGAUUGAUUGAAGUCUGUCAUACAUCUCCUGGCCAUGAAUGUGUCUUUAUAAGCAAACUUUGGCAUCAUAGAUAUGUGGGCAAUAGCCAGCUGUGGCAAUGGAAAAGCCUGACCUGGCAAUGGACUGCUGUAAAGUUUAAAAUGAGAUGUUAGAUAAUUCUGUUUUUAUGGCUGCUCCUGUUCCCCAAAAGUGCUAUUUCUGUUAAUUCUCCUCUUCCCAAACCAAGAGUCAAGGUGGCUGACAAUAAUAAAGAAAUGUAUUUAUUUAGUGUA